RNAcentral lists this ribosomal RNA (760 nucleotides) under Sceloporus smithi. Its description in RNAcentral is "partial 12S ribosomal RNA". It matches the Rfam family "Bacterial small subunit ribosomal RNA", at positions 87 to 1370 of the family's 1533-position model. Lineage: Eukaryota; Metazoa; Chordata; Lepidosauria; Squamata; Phrynosomatidae. The record is from RNAcentral.
UCCACAUACCGGUGAAAUAUGCCCAAACAUAGUAAAACGGAGCAGGUAUCAGGCACGAAAUUCAGCCCAAAACACCAAGCUACGCCACACCCACACGGGCCUACAGCAGUGAUAAACAUUAAGCAAUGAGCGAACGAACACACCCUAAAGCUCGACUUAGUUAUGAUUAACAGGGCCGGUCAACCUCGUGCCAGCCACCGCGGUUAUACGAGGGGCCCAAAGCAGCAGAUUUCGGCGUAAAUCGUGACUAGAAUUUAUCUUAAAAACUAAAGAAUAAACCAUAACCUAACCGUAAAACGCAGGUUAAAUGAAACUAGCAAUCUUUACAACCAAGGAAAUUUGACUCACGAAAACUAAGGAACAAACUAGGAUUAGAUACCCUACUAUGCUUAGUCGUAAAUAUGACAAAAUACCACACCAGUGUCCGCCAGAAAACUACGAGCGAAAAGCUUAAAACUCAAAGGACUUGGCGGUGCUCCACACCAACUUAGAGGAGCCUGUCCUAUAAUCGAUACUCCACGAUAAACCCCACCAAUUUUUGCCAAACCCAGCCUAUAUACCGCCGUCGCCAACUUACCCCAUGAGGGAAAAACAGUAAGUGCAAUAGUUUAACACUAAAACGUCAGGUCAAGGUGUAGCUAAUAAAUUGGAAGAGAUGGGCUACAUUUUUUAAAAUACAAAAUACGGCACGACACCGUGAAAUGGGUGCCUAAAGGAGGAUUUAACAGUAAGACUAAUAAGAAAGCUAGUCUUAAACAUG